CCUACGGGCGGCAGCAGUGAGGAAUAUUGGUCAAUGGUCGGAAGGCUGAACCAGCCAAGCCGCGUGAGGGAGGAAGGCGCUGAGCGUUGCAGACCUCUUUUACCGGGGGACAAAAGGCGGCACUCGUCCGGUCCUGUGGGUACCCCGAGAAAAAGCACCGGCUAAUUCCGUGCCAGCAGCCGCGGUAAUACGGAGGGUGCGGGCGUUAUCCGGAUUUAUUGGGUUUAAAGGGUGCGUAGGCCGGACCUUAAGCCUGCGGUGAAAUGCCGGGGCUCAACCCCGGCAAGGCGGCGGGAAUUGGGUGGCUUGAGUGCGGGGGAGGUAUGCGGAAUGCGCGGUGUAGCGGUGAAAUGCAUAGAUAUCGCGCAGAACCCCGAUUGCGAAGGCAGCGUGCGGUGCCGCCACUGACGCUGAGGCACGAAGGCGCGGGGAUCGAACAGGAUUAGAUACCCUAGUAGUC
RNAcentral lists this ribosomal RNA (460 nucleotides) under uncultured bacterium. RNAcentral describes it as "partial 16S ribosomal RNA". It matches the Rfam family "Bacterial small subunit ribosomal RNA", at positions 338 to 795 of the family's 1533-position model. The record is from RNAcentral.